GUAAAUUUUCACUAAGAUCACUUUGAUUUAUUUUCUUUGUUUGUAAAUAUAGUAUGUUCGAGGAUUGUCUUUCUGCGAAAUAUCCAUGCUUGCCCGAAAAAGAACUCUACGCGAGAAGAGCUGAAGAAUAUCAUUUAUGGGUUAAAGAAUAUGUAAGUCUACAUCAAUUUCUUGCAUUC
RNAcentral lists this small RNA (179 nucleotides) under Arabidopsis thaliana (thale cress). RNAcentral's name for it is "ATSL264590". Lineage: Eukaryota; Viridiplantae; Streptophyta; Magnoliopsida; Brassicales; Brassicaceae. The record is from RNAcentral.